RNAcentral lists this ribosomal RNA (457 nucleotides) under uncultured bacterium. RNAcentral's name for it is "bacterial SSU rRNA". It matches the Rfam family "Bacterial small subunit ribosomal RNA", at positions 29 to 531 of the family's 1533-position model. The record is from RNAcentral.
AACGAACGCUGGCGGCAGGCCUAACACAUGCAAGUCGAGCGAACCCUUCGGGGUUAGCGGCGGACGGGUUAGUAACGCGUGGGAAUAUACCCUUUGGUACGGAAUAGCCUCGGGAAACUGAGAGUAAUACCGUAUGUGCCCUUCGGGGAAAGAUUAUCGCCAAAGGAUUAGCCCGCGUUGGAUUAGAUAGUUGGUGGGGUAAUGGCCUACCAAGUCUACGAUCCAUAGCUGGUUUGAGAGGAUGAUCAGCAACACUGGGACUGAGACACGGCCCAGACUCCUACGGGAGGCAGCAGUGGGGAAUCUUAGACAAUGGGCGCAAGCCUGAUCUAGCCAUGCCGCGUGGACGAUGAAGGCCUUAGGGUUGUAAAGUCCUUUCAGAUGGGAAGAUAAUGACGGUACCAUCAGAAGAAGCCCCGGCUAACUCCGUGCCAGCAGCCGCGGUAAAGUCUGUACU